Molecule: ribosomal RNA, 896 nt
Filed under: uncultured bacterium
Lineage: Bacteria
Description: bacterial SSU rRNA
Rfam family: Bacterial small subunit ribosomal RNA
Source: RNAcentral
AGAGUUUGAUCCUGGCUCAGGACGAACGCUGGCGGCGUGCUUAACACAUGCAAGUCGAGCGGUAAGGCCUCUUCGGAGGUACACGAGCGGCGAACGGGUGAGUAACACGUGAGCAACCUACCCCACACAUCGGGAUAACCCCCGGAAACGGGAGCUAAUACCGAAUACGACCACUUCAGACAUCUGACGGUGGUGGAAAGCUCCGGCGGUGGUGGAUGGGCUCGCGGCCUAUCAGCUUGUUGGUGGGGUAACGGCCUACCAAGGCUUCGACGGGUAGCCGGCCUGAGAGGGUGACCGGCCACACUGGGACUGAGACACGGCCCAGACUCCUACGGGAGGCAGCAGUGGGGAAUAUUGGACAAUGGGCGAAAGCCUGAUCCAGCAACGCCGCGUGAGGGAUGACGGCCUUCGGGUUGUAAACCUCUUUCAGCAGGGACGAAGCGCAAGUGACGGUACCUGCAGAAGAAGCACCGGCCAACUACGUGCCAGCAGCCGCGGUAAUACGUAGGGUGCAAGCGUUGUCCGGAAUUAUUGGGCGUAAAGGGCUCGUAGGCGGUCUGUCGCGUCGGGAGUGAAAACUCAGGGCUUAACCCUGAGCCUGCUUCCGAUACGGGCAGACUAGAGGUAUGCAGGGGAGAACGGAAUUCCUGGUGUAGCGGUGAAAUGCGCAGAUAUCAGGAGGAACACCGGUGGCGAAGGCGGUUCUCUGGGCAUUACCUGACGCUGAGGAGCGAAAGUGUGGGGAGCGAACAGGAUUAGAUACCCUGGUAGUCCACACCGUAAACGUUGGGCGCUAGGUGUGGGACUCAUUCCACGAGUUCCGUGCCGCAGCUAACGCAUUAAGCGCCCCGCCUGGGGAGUACGGCCGCAAGGCUAAAACUCAAAGGAAUUGACGG